UACAGAGAGUGCGAACGUUGUUCGGAAUUACUGGGCUUAAAGCGCACGUAGGCGGCAUCGUAAGUGUCGGGUGAAAUCCCACGGCUCACCCGUGGAACUGCCCGGCAGACUGCGAUGCUCGAGUGUGGUAGGGGAGAACGGAACUCCUGGUGGAGCGGUGAAAUGCGCAGAUAUCAGGAGGAACACCGGUGGCGAAGGCGGAUCUCUGGGCCAUUACUGACGCUGAGGAGCGAAAGCGUGGGGAGCGAACAGG
This 253-nucleotide ribosomal RNA is filed under the name uncultured bacterium. Its description in RNAcentral is "partial 16S ribosomal RNA". It matches the Rfam family "Bacterial small subunit ribosomal RNA", at positions 524 to 776 of the family's 1533-position model. The record is from RNAcentral.